This 352-nucleotide long non-coding RNA is filed under the name Jatropha curcas. Its description in RNAcentral is "long non-coding RNA (JCUR_LNC002420)". Lineage: Eukaryota; Viridiplantae; Streptophyta; Magnoliopsida; Malpighiales; Euphorbiaceae. The record is from RNAcentral.
CCUCAAUCCACUUAUGAGAGUCAGAACUCUGCAUGGCAUGAUAGAAACUAACUGGAUCAUCAUCUAUCAUGUCUACAGUAUCCUCAUGUUCCUGAAGAAACACUAUAUAAUCAUCUGGAAUAGCACUUCUUCUCUCCCUAGUAGAUCUCCUCAAAGGCAUUUGAACAGACUCUAAUUCUUGAGGUUGUUGAAUUUGUUCUUGAGGAAGAAUAGCAUUGUCUUGAAUUGGAUCUUGAAUAGUGACAGGAGCAACUGGAGUCUGUACGCUAUCAGAAACAACAAAAGGAAUGAGAACCGAAUCAUCCUUACUUGGUUCCUCUUCAAAGACAAUGUUUCUUUCUUUAUUUCUCCC